GCGGAUGUGGCGAAAUUGGUAGACGCGCUGGAUUUAGGUUCCAGUGACUUUGGUCGUGGGGGUUCGAGUCCCUUCAUCCGCACCA
RNAcentral lists this transfer RNA (85 nucleotides) under Alphaproteobacteria bacterium. RNAcentral's name for it is "tRNA-Leu". It matches the Rfam family "tRNA". Rfam says of the family: Transfer RNA (tRNA) molecules are approximately 80 nucleotides in length. Their secondary structure includes four short double-helical elements and three loops (D, anti-codon, and T loops). Further hydrogen bonds mediate the characteristic L-shaped molecular structure. tRNAs have two regions of fundamental functional importance: the anti-codon, which is responsible for specific mRNA codon recognition, and the 3' end, to which the tRNAs corresponding amino acid is attached (by aminoacyl-tRNA synthetases). tRNAs cope with the degeneracy of the genetic code in two manners: having more than one tRNA (with a specific anti-codon) for a particular amino acid; and 'wobble' base-pairing, i.e. permitting non-standard base-pairing at the 3rd anti-codon position. RNAcentral also lists the same sequence under 1 other name. The record is from RNAcentral. Lineage: Bacteria; Pseudomonadati; Pseudomonadota; Alphaproteobacteria.